GCCACGGGGUCCAGGCCAGAGGUCCAAACAUGGCCUUGCUUUCCAUUUCUUUCUCCAAGACAAACACACACACACACACGCGCGCACAAACACACACACACACACACACACACACAUACUUUUUUCUUUCACCUUGAGUUUGUUCCACUCCCUUGGGGGAAAGCAGAAGAGAAAAGGACAUUUCCAGAAGACAGAAGGCAGAUCCACUCCACUCUUUACCUAUCAGCCAGGCAGUUAAUCAAUGUGAUUAUCCUUGAGAGAGAUGGAUCUGAGAGAGAGAGAAAGAGAGUCUAAGAAACAUUCGAGUGACAUGUAUCUCCAGCUAAAGAGAAAACUGCUUUUAACCGGAACAACGGAACAACUUCUCCAUCAUUCCCACUGGCAGGACGAGGGACACUUUUCAGUUGGUGCUGAUGGGAGAUUUCAGAGCCCUUGUCCUCUGUCAUCUUCAGAAAACAUCCACAUGAUGCCGCCUGAUGAGAACAUGCUGUCCAACUGCAUCUGCUGUCCUGCCAUUUUAAAAAAUGGAUGUCUCAUUCCAGCAAAACAAUGGGGACAAUUCCCAAGAAUUUAAUCUACGUGUCGCCCCUCUGUUCUCCCAGCCAACACAAGAUUAUCAAUAAUCUCAUAUUUUCACACAGAUUACACAUUACAGGCAGCAGCAGCCUUGAGCUGAGCUAUAGACUUGGAUCCCAUCAGUGGGGGGCAUUAGUCUGGAUCCCACCAUAUUGUGAAAUUGAUCUUGUAUCUGAAAGCCAGGAUUGCUCCUCUGACAGCCGCUGUACACUGGGUUUCAUUUAAACACACUCCGUGUCAUCCAAACACCUUGAAUGUGACAGCACUGGGAGAAGAAAGACAUGCAGCAUGGAAGCGUUUUACCUCAAAUUUCUGUCCGAACUGCAUAAAAAAUGUGUGUAGAAAUGUUUUACUUUUCCUUUGAUGUGACUGGAACAUGUAAAACCAAAUAUAAGACAUUUUUAAAAGUGUGUCAUUCAAGCAAAUGGUUUUGUGAAAGAGGAAUGGACAAUUAAUCAGUCAUAGUGUUGUGUGAUCAUCUGGGUUGUUCUGGAAUUGACUGAACACAAUGGAGAGAGCACAGACUGUCUGAUCCUGUCAGAUGUUCAUCUAAAUGCAUUCUUUUCACAAUGUUCUCAGCUUGAAUCCGCUCAAAUAAAUGUCUCCUCUGCCCUCGCUUUCACACCAGAACUUUUAGUUCUCACAUUGGUACACUUGACAUAUUCAUCAUAUUGUUUUUAAUUCACCAAACAUUGGUUCUCUCUUUUUUCCCCUUUUUCCUGGUCUACUGCACAAUGCUUAUUCUUCCCGAGUUGAUCAGAGGAAACAAUUAAUCUCUCAAGUGAAAGUUUUCUAUUAAAUAAUAAAGAAUAAAUAAUAUUAGAAUAUCAGUUUUGACAGAUUUUAAUUAUC
This 1428-nucleotide long non-coding RNA is filed under the name Danio rerio (zebrafish). RNAcentral's name for it is "lncRNA (ENSDARG00000117650.1)". The record is from RNAcentral. Lineage: Eukaryota; Metazoa; Chordata; Actinopteri; Cypriniformes; Danionidae.